UACAGAGACUGCAAGCGUUAUUCGGAUUCACUGGGCGUAAAGAGCGCGCAGGCGGUCGAGUAAGUCGCGUGUGAAAGCCCCCGGCUCAACUGGGGAGGGUCACGCGAUACUGUUCGACUCGAAGGCAGGAGAGGGUAGUGGAAUUCCCGGUGUAGUGGUGAAAUGCGUAGAUAUCGGGAGGAACACCAGUGGCGAAGGCGACUACCUGGCCUGUUCUUGACGCUGAGGCGCGAAAGCUAGGGGAGCAAACGGG
This 253-nucleotide ribosomal RNA is filed under the name uncultured bacterium. RNAcentral describes it as "partial 16S ribosomal RNA". It matches the Rfam family "Bacterial small subunit ribosomal RNA", at positions 524 to 776 of the family's 1533-position model. The record is from RNAcentral.